GUCGAAACUGGAAAUUAUUAAAUAAAUCUUAUUUAUUGAAACGCUAAAGUUAUUAUAUAUGUAAUGUCAUUGUAAUAUAUUACUCAAAGUCAAAUUUAUCUGCACUCUAAUUAUUAGCUAUAGUCACUUUUUUUAAACAUUAGUCUCGAUAAAAGGCUCGAACUCGUUUUUUUAUGUAGCAGUCAUAAAAAAAUGUGGCUCACUUCACCACAUUUUCCGUCAUCUUUCGCCACAUCAAACUUAAACAGUUUUAUUUAUCGAUAAAGAAUCGGAAUUUGUAAAAUCAGAGAAAUGAUAUGAUCGUUUAGUCAUGUCUCAGAUUUGUCCAUCUUCGUCGCAUCAACUGGUCGCAGCCGCAAUUGCCUUUCGACGUGCAAGACGUAAAUUUCCAAAAAAUUAUGGUCUCUGUUGUAACUCCGAAGAAGUAACCAAGUUUGACGAAACUGAAAGCAUCACAGGAAACGAGGAAACCAACGAUGCGGAGAAUUUAUCGUUUACACCGAGAAAAUGUUUGAACACGAUGUCGAAUUGUGUCGAGCCAGUGGCAGUUUGGAAUGACGAAUCCGGGGAGAGUAGCUCAUUCAAGGAAAACUUACUUCAGAUACCUAUAAUCUGCAGUUGUUGUCGCAAACGCAAUGAACAGGGCAGUGGUGGAGAUGCGCUUGAUAUCGUUCCAAGCAAAGAACACAAUGGUAUCGCGAGAAAAAUUGAAUGUUUCAAAGCAGAACAAUCAGAGAGCAACGAUGGAAAAGCCAUGAAAGGCUUCAUAACGGAGUCGAGGAAUUCUAGCCGCUGUCGUACUUCAUAUUCUCAUUCAGGUAGACGAAGUCCAAAAGAAACUUCGUCGAAAUUGGAUUCCGUUAAUCUUCUGUACGACAGAGGCCACGACGAUGUAGACAAAGGUAACAACUCGUCCGAGAAACGGAACUGCAACGCUGGAGAACACAGCUGCAGCGGUGGGAGAAGAGAUUGCAAGUCGGCUCAUCGAAAUUCGCGAUCUAAAUUAAAUGUCUCCGAGUCGCGAAAGGAUAACGUGUUGCCCAACGUUUCGCACGAUUGCGAUUUUCAUUGUGCCAAACAUUCUACUAUGAACUUGUUGGGGUCGCAUACGGACUGCUGUCAAUCACAGAAUUCUCAUCGUUGUUACCACUCUCACGAGCACUGUCAUCAUCAUUGCUACGAAAAAUGCAGUUGCACAGCGAAAGGCAAACCACGUCUCACUUCAGACACCUGUCUCUGUUCGUCAAAUUUGAACGAUCACGCAGUUCAUUGUAACAAGGAUCACGUACCCUGCAACCAUGGUUGUUGCACGAAAGGAUUGAAAAAGAUAUCGUUGGUUCAGGAGCAGAAAGACGAAGAAUUAGACGAUUGCGUGGGCACGAUUCAUCACAAGGACUCUCUGUGCAUCUUGGUGGAAAAAUACAAAGCGAACAGAAAGUGCAAGAUCAAGAAAUGUGCCGACGAAGCGGAAAUCUCGGAUGAACGAAUCAAAGACGACAAAUCGUUCACGUCAGAAACCACCUGUCAAUUGGAAGAUAUUAAUUCGAAACAGCGAGAGAAACAUUCGGACAACAAACAUAGAUUUCGAGGGAAAACGUGCAGGCACGGUUGCGGGCAAGUUAUCAGAGACGGAGACUACAAUCACAUAAAAAAUUUAAAAUCUCGUCUGAUAAAGACAGGGACUUGCUGUUCACCGAAAGGGACACCUUGGAGACACACGUUUUACGUCUAACCAGAUUUUUUUACACGACACGCAUUUUAUUUAUUCAAAGAUUUUUGUAUUUGUAUUAUAUUUCUUUUUCUUGUGCUCGUUAUAUAUUGCCUUCUUUUUAUACAUAAUGUUCUUGGUUCAUUUGUCGCAUUUUAGAACUGUUACUUGAAAGGAAAUUUCCAAUUCAACGUGAAUCCACAAAGGGGACGUUUACAUUGUGCAACUUUUGACCGAUCGGUCGACUUCGAGUUGUUCAACUAAAAGAUUUAUAGUACGCUUAAAUAUUGGACAUUUUUAUCGGACAGCAUGGUUGACGCAUUAUGUAAAAAGAUGUUACGUUCAAUAUUAGCCAGUUGCACUGCAUUUGUUAUUAUUUGCAAGAGUUACUAUUAAAUUCAUUUAAAUUCAUUUUCUUUGCUAUUUCUUCUAUUUUAACAAAUUGCAAUCUACUGAAGUCUUAAGUUGAUCAAACUGAUUAGGGCUAUAGGGAUUUAGAGAUAAGGUGAGAAGGCUUGGAGUUGAAAAAAUUCGAGUAUUUUUAAUGGCUAAAUAAUUAAAAUCCGUAAAUUUCUAAUGCCGAAAGCUUCUCGUGGACUAAAUCCGCCAGUGAGUUGGCUAUCACGGUUGGUCGAUCAAAAGUUGUUUAAUGUAAAUGUAACUACAGUGGAAGUACGUAAAUUUGAGUUGAAGUUACAUAAAUUUCUCUCAAUAUGUUUCUCGAAUUUUCAUUAAAAUGCUCGUAAAUUUCCCAGCAAACCGCCUCUGGUUCUAAUUUUCAUUUUCGCUUCGGGGGGCAAAAAGGAAGGUGUAAAAAAGUGUACUCGACGGAGGUUCAAUUUCGUCGCGUGAAGGACCACGCGACGGUGCACUUCAGAAGAGUUAUUUUUUAAAGCAUAUUGCGCUAAUAAAGUUAAUAAACUUA
Molecule: unclassified non-coding RNA, 2633 nt
Filed under: Megachile rotundata (alfalfa leafcutting bee)
Lineage: Eukaryota; Metazoa; Arthropoda; Insecta; Hymenoptera; Megachilidae
Description: uncharacterized LOC100874826, transcript variant X1
Source: RNAcentral